RNAcentral lists this small RNA (1557 nucleotides) under Vigna angularis var. angularis. Its description in RNAcentral is "Non-protein coding transcript". Lineage: Eukaryota; Viridiplantae; Streptophyta; Magnoliopsida; Fabales; Fabaceae. The record is from RNAcentral.
AGCCAACAUUCCUUGGGGUCUCCUUCGUUCCACAAUCUCAACUGAAAAGAGAGACCUAGAGUCUUCUUCCCAAGUAGCCAACGGAGGUAUCUCCACCCCGUCACGCACGCGCGCCACUGUCUCAGCAAAAAACGGCCGCCGCUAGCUGCGGCCCAAGCCGCCGCCAGUACGCCGACCACCACCACAAACCCCGCCGGUUGCUACCUCUGAACCAGACUAGCCACCACGACGAAGAUGGUCACCGCGUCACGGCCUCUCCGGACCAGCCACCACGUCACGCCGCGCCUCGAUCCGACUACCCAGGGAGGGGUUCGUCUCCGACGUCUCUGUGCCGCGUCUGCCUAACUGGCCGCCGCUCACCACGCGACCCAGCCACCACGCCACUGCUUCUUCCGAUCUUGGCGUCGGUGGCAACCCCAAUCGCCACCGGAAUUGUUUCCAACCGCGGCGCCAUCAACCUUGGAGGCCGCCACCGAUGGGCUCUCCUAUUCUCCUUUAUCUAUUUUCUGUUUCUAUGCUUGAUUGCUUUGAUUGGGUUUGGCUCUUGGAAUGGUUGAUGGGUGAUCCAGUGAGAAAAAUGGGGAUGAAUUUGACGAAUUCUAGAACGGAAAGGGUGGAAAUCUGAGAGGGGUUGAUCACGGGUGUUGGAGAUGAAGGCCCCUGUUGGAGAUGAAGGCCCUUGAGGUAAGGAUGAAGAUGAGGGUGAUGAGCAGAGGGGUCAGUGCCAUGAAGGGAUGAAGAUUGAUGAUGAUCGUUGGCCGUGAGGUAGAGGUGAAUGAAUGGAAUGGGUUUCAAGAGUAGAGAGAUUGAGAUGAGUGAUGGCUAGGGAGAUGACAGUAGCAUGGAAGAAAUACCGAUUCACAUGUGCAAGACCAAUUGGGACCAACAAGCAGACACAUAAAUGCUAACUCUUAAAAUGAAACACCUACUAGCUGAAGUAUUAGUUGAUGAAUGAUGAAUGGUAUCGGGGUGAGGGGAGUCGAGAUUGGAUUAUAGUUGAAGGUGGAGGUGUUGGAGAUCCCCUUUUUUCUCUUGAUGAGGUCUGUCCAAAUUCAAACUUGAAAGACUCCAUGGUCCUUCCUUUUCAAAAAUGCUUUUCAAGAUUCCGCAGGAGGAAAAGCCUCUGACUUAGGAUAUUCACUUUGAAUUCAAUUUGUCCUUUUUCCUCUUUUAUGUUUCAAAUGGAUCAAUUGGUCCUAGCGGGUCAGAUAUCCUUUCCCAUUUGAUAUAUGAUUGCAGCUACUGUAAGCCCUUUGCUGCAGAACGAUAGUCCUCUGUAUUGCAUGUUGUGAUAUGCACGUUGCAUGAUAGAAAGCUCAAUUUGUGCUUGCGUAGACUGAGAAUGGGGAGAAGCAAAGUCUGCUAUUCCUAAAAGGCUUAGUUGACUAUUGUGUUUUCUUUUUUUCUCUUUUUUUUAGAUUUUUUUUGUUUUGUUAACGUUUAACAUAAAAAAUUAAAGCAAAAAAAUACUAAAUCAAAUAAAGUGAAAUAACUAAUAUAAAAAAAGUAAAAUAGAAACAUAACUUAAAAAUAAAAAUGAAAGAAAAUAGAAUAAAA